RNAcentral lists this non-coding RNA (101 nucleotides) under Macrococcoides caseolyticum. RNAcentral describes it as "Macrococcus caseolyticus TPP sequence". It matches the Rfam family "TPP riboswitch aptamer (THI element)". From Rfam's summary of the family: Vitamin B(1) in its active form thiamin pyrophosphate (TPP) is an essential coenzyme that is synthesised by coupling of pyrimidine and thiazole moieties in bacteria. The previously detected thiamin-regulatory element, thi box was extended, resulting in a new, highly conserved RNA secondary structure, the THI element, which is widely distributed in eubacteria and also occurs in some archaea. RNAcentral also lists the same sequence under 1 other name. The record is from RNAcentral. Lineage: Bacteria; Bacillati; Bacillota; Bacilli; Caryophanales; Staphylococcaceae.
GACGAUUGCUAGGGGAGCUCUUAUGAGCUGAGAAAGGAAUAUCCUUGACUCUUUGAACCUGUUUGGUUAGUACCAGCGUAGGGAAGCGAGCGUGUAUACUU